AUUGCAGGUUAAACACCAACUACUACUGUUCAGCCUUGCUCUGUUUCAAGCAAGAACCCAAAGCUAAGCAAUCCUCGGAGCUUUAAGAGCAGCGACCGUUUCGGAAAGAGAGAGUGUUUGUGUGGGUCAAGGAAGAAAGAACCAACCUUUGCGGAGAGAGAGAGCGAGAGAGAAAGAGGGUCUUGUAUGGAAAGGGUGUCGAUCUCGGU
This is a long non-coding RNA of Rhodamnia argentea, 209 nucleotides long. RefSeq lists it as uncharacterized. The record is from RefSeq and is a predicted model, not a curated record. NCBI's taxonomy places the organism in Eukaryota, Viridiplantae, Streptophyta, Magnoliopsida, Myrtales, Myrtaceae. The transcript is spliced from 3 exons.